Pelobates cultripes (western spadefoot toad) is the source of this 159-nucleotide non-coding RNA. NCBI's taxonomy places the organism in Eukaryota, Metazoa, Chordata, Amphibia, Anura, Pelobatidae. The record is from the annotation of a GenBank genome assembly.
GCUGACACAUCCCUGCCAAUCUCCGGCAGACCCUCCCUCCCAGACCCUCCCACCUCCUGGACAGCAUCCAUGUUGAAGCUGCCUUCAACAUGGAUGCUGUCCAGGAAGUAGGAGGGUCUGGGAGGGAGGGUCUGCUGGAGAUUGACCGGGAUGUGUCAG